This 468-nucleotide ribosomal RNA is filed under the name uncultured bacterium. RNAcentral's name for it is "partial 16S ribosomal RNA". It matches the Rfam family "Bacterial small subunit ribosomal RNA", at positions 28 to 507 of the family's 1533-position model. The record is from RNAcentral.
GACGAACGCUGGCGGCGUGCUUAACACAUGCAAGUCGAACGGAAAGGCCCUGCUUUUGUGGGUUGCUCGAGUGGCGAACGGGUGUGUAACACGUGAGUAACCUGCCCUUGACUUUGGGAUAACUUCAGGAAACUGGGGCUAAUACCGGAUAUGAGCUCCUGCUGCAUGUUGGGGGUUGGAAAGUUUCGGCGGUUGGGGAUGGACUCGCGGCUUAUCAGCUUGUUGGUGGGGUAGUUGCUUACCAAGGCUUUGACGGGUAGCCGGCCUGAGAGGGUGAACGGCCACAAUGGGACUGAGAUAAGGCCCAGAAUCAUACGGGAGGCAGCAGUGGGGAAUAUUGCACAAUGGGCGGAAGCCUGAUGAAGAAACGCCGCGUGCGGGAUGACGGCCUUCGGGUUGUAAACCGCUUUCGCCUGUGACGAAGCGUGAGUGACGGUAAUGGGUAAAGAAGCACCGGCUAACUACGUG